Mastomys coucha (southern multimammate mouse) is the source of this 380-nucleotide long non-coding RNA. RefSeq lists it as uncharacterized. NCBI's taxonomy places the organism in Eukaryota, Metazoa, Chordata, Mammalia, Rodentia, Muridae. The record is from RefSeq and is a predicted model, not a curated record. The transcript is spliced from 2 exons.
CUUUAUCAUGUGGUGAAGAACCUAUCUCAGAGGAAUGGACCAAUGAUUGGGAAGAACUCAAGUGACAUAUAAGACAUUUUACUAGGUACACCGAGACACCUUUUGAUUCCAACACAGCUGCUGUGAUCAAUGGUGGCAGCUUGGCCAUAUGGCACCCGCCUGCAGGCCCCACCAGAGAGCAUCAGGCCCAUCAUCCAUAGACUAUGCUGCCCACCCUUCCUUCCUCUGCUGCAAACUCAGCUGCACCCAGAGUGCUCUCCCUCUUCCCGUGGCCGUUCAUGGUGCUUCGUGAAUGUGGAAAGAUGGAUCUAACGGUGUGACCGUUGAAAGCCAGGGAUUAGUCCCUCUAAAUUAGCCCAAUAAAGCAAUUACAACAGAGA